RNAcentral lists this ribosomal RNA (301 nucleotides) under uncultured bacterium. RNAcentral describes it as "partial 16S ribosomal RNA". It matches the Rfam family "Bacterial small subunit ribosomal RNA", at positions 509 to 807 of the family's 1533-position model. The record is from RNAcentral.
CAGCAGCCGCGGUAAUACGGAGGGUGCAAGCGUUAAUCGGAAUUACUGGGCGUAAAGCGCACGCAGGCGGUCUGACAAGUCAGAUGUGAAAUCCCCGGGCUUAACCUGGGAACUGCAUUUGAAACUGUCAGGCUGGAGUCUUGUAGAGGGGGGUGGAAUUCCAGGUGUAGCGGUGAAAUGCGUAGAGAUCUGGAGGAAUACCGGUGGCGAAGGCGGCCCCCUGGACAAAGACUGACGCUCAGGUGCGAAAGCGUGGGGAGCAAACAGGAUUAGAUACCCGUGUAGUCCCUGUCUCUUAUAC